Molecule: ribosomal RNA, 253 nt
Filed under: uncultured bacterium
Lineage: Bacteria
Description: partial 16S ribosomal RNA
Rfam family: Bacterial small subunit ribosomal RNA
Source: RNAcentral
UACGGAGGAUCCAAGCGUUAUCCGGAAUCAUUGGGUUUAAAGGGUCCGUAGGCGGUUUUAUAAGUCAGUGGUGAAAUCCGGCAGCUCAACUGUCGAACUGCCAUUGAUACUGUAGAACUUGAAUUUCUGUGAAGUAACUAGAAUAUGUAGUGUAGCGGUGAAAUGCUUAGAUAUUACAUGGAAUACCAAUUGCGAAGGCAGGUUACUAACAUUAUAUUGACGCUGAUGGACGAAAGCGUGGGGAGCGAACAGG